Molecule: unclassified non-coding RNA, 1023 nt
Organism: Rhipicephalus microplus (southern cattle tick)
Lineage: Eukaryota; Metazoa; Arthropoda; Arachnida; Ixodida; Ixodidae
Source: RefSeq, a predicted model, not a curated record
UGGUUUUAGCAGAACACUUACAACAGCAUAAGAUGGCAUAAGUGCUUACCUGGUAAUGGAGUGAGAAGUGGCAGAUAACGGUUUUCUCUGCCUAAUAUUUGGACAAACUUGAUUGAUACUUUCAUGUGAGAACUUGUGCCUAAGUAGGAGUAAUUAGGAUGGGUCGCAAGGAUGCUGCUGUUUCAUAUGACAAUGGAAAGAAGCACUUCAGCAAUGUUAAAUACCAGCGCAUACAGCGGACUGAUGAUGGCUUCGUAGAUAUUCAGUUUCAGAAAACUCUCUCAAGGGUUCCCAAAAAGGCCAUUGCACUUGCAACUUGCCUGUUCAUCGGUGGAUCUGCGCUGAUUGUCUUGGCAUCAUUCAUUUUUGCUGGAUUUUUUGACCCAAAAUAUGAUGACAGCAGCUGGCCAGUUCUUGUUCUGGGAGCCCUUAUGUUCAUCCCUGGUGCUUAUCAUGUACGCAUUGCAUACUAUGCAUAUAAGAAGUAUCCAGGCUAUACAUUUGAUGACAUCCCAGAUUUUGAUUAGGUCCACUGUUGUUGUUAGCACUGGACCAAAAAUAUUGCGUUCCUUGUCAUGACACUGGAAUCGCAUGGUCAUUCAGUAUGCUAUGUCUCAGUGGCAAGAUGCAGGUUUCGGGACCUUGCAGACAUUAUGUACAGUUCUUAAAGUUGUUGAAUCAUGAAAUGAGGAUAUGUGUGAUAAGGAAGAAGGUGACCUAUCAUGGCUUCUGGCACAGGAAAUGUUGGUGAAUAUAACCUUAUUGUAAACACAGUAAACAUUGCUGUACUAUACUGUUCAUAAAAUUUUCACAAACAAGCAGUGCAGCACAGGACUAAGCAAGCUUGCUUUCCCUUACUUUCUUUAGCACAGCUGAUCAUCAUUUUGGUGUUAUGUCAUUUGAUGCAGACUGUAUUAGUCAUCAGAGGGUCAAGAGCUUGUCUGGCUUUUUAACCUUUAGUCUUUUGCACCUGUAGGAAAAUUUUGUAUAGUUUCUGUGAAAAUAAACAGCUUUUUCAGCUUU